This 464-nucleotide ribosomal RNA is filed under the name Vreelandella stevensii. RNAcentral describes it as "partial 16S ribosomal RNA". It matches the Rfam family "Bacterial small subunit ribosomal RNA", at positions 338 to 795 of the family's 1533-position model. Lineage: Bacteria; Pseudomonadati; Pseudomonadota; Gammaproteobacteria; Oceanospirillales; Halomonadaceae. The record is from RNAcentral.
CCUACGGGGGGCAGCAGUGGGGAAUAUUGGACAAUGGGGGGAACCCUGAUCCAGCCAUGCCGCGUGUGUGAAGAAGGCCCUCGGGUUGUAAAGCACUUUCAGUGAGGAAGAACGCCUGGUGGUUAAUACCCAUCAGGAAAGACAUCACUCACAGAAGAAGCACCGGCUAACUCCGUGCCAGCAGCCGCGGUAAUACGGAGGGUGCGAGCGUUAAUCGGAAUUACUGGGCGUAAAGCGCGCGUAGGUGGCUUGAUAAGCCGGUUGUGAAAGCCCGGGCUCAACCUGGGAACGGCAUCCGGAACUGUCAAGCUAGAGUGCAGGAGAGGAAGGUAGAAUUCCCGGUGUAGCGGUGAAAUGCGUAGAGAUCGGGAGGAAUACCAGUGGCGAAGGCGGCCUUCUGGACUGACACUGACACUGAGGUGCGAAAGCGUGGGUAGCAAACAGGAUUAGAUACCCUAGUAGUC